GGGUCAAUAAGGUUCAAAUAAGGGUGCAAUUAAGACAAGGCAAGGUUGUUGUUGUUAAGUAUUUAGUUCACAAAAAAGUCUAAAUCCUCUCAAAAGUUAAAUCAAUCAAGUAGCAUUAAAAAGAGUAUAAUCAAGUUCUGAAUCACAUUAUAAGUAUGAGUAAAUCACAUAAUGAAGAAAUUUUGCUCAAAGCUUACUAAGGUUAGAUUCAUCGAAUUUGAUUCAUUAUUUAAUUUCUCAUGAGAAUCCAACCAAACAUAGAGUAUGAACAUGUCAAUCGGGUUUAAAAGCUCUAACUAAGGGUGGAGAAUCAAAAUUAGUCCCUAUGCUAAAAAACUUUUUUCUCAAUUAAAUGCAACAAUAAAGACUAAACAAGACAAAAUCAUAGCACUAACAAACAUGACUAAGACAACAAAGCAAACAUACUUAAUAGCUCGACAAAUCGAUAACAAGUCUAGGCAAUUCGACAGCUUGGUAGACUAGCAGUUGGUGGGCUCGGUUGUAAAUCCUAAACAAAAAACAGAAAAACAUGAAAUAAAAAUGAAAACCCCUUUAUAAAUCUUUUUACCUAAAUCCUUUGAUAAAUAGAGAGCCAAAUUUCCUACACUAGUGAUUUUUUUUAUAGAUUAAGUGGGAGAUAAAUGAGAAGAAUAAGAGAAGAAGAGAUAAAGGAGAAGGAGGAGGACAAGCCAAAGCUAGUGACGAUGGUGAUGGCAAAGGUGCAACAACAACACAUAACAUUACGAUGAUAGAGUGGUCGUGGAGGUCACAACAAUAGUGAUAAUCGAAGGUAGAGAAGGAGACGAAUAAGAAGAGGAGAAUAAAAAGGAAAAAGAAAAGAGAUGACGAAAAUAACAACAGAGGAGGAAGUGGGCAAAGAGGAGAGGAGGAAAAAGAAGAGGAAUUAUAAGAAGACAAAAAGGAAAAAAAAAGGGAGAAAGAGAAAAAAGAAGACCUAAUUGUGAUAUUUAUUAAUGUAUUUUAUGGAUAAAUGUUUGGCUGUCGGCAAUUUGUUAGUAAACUCAAAUUAUUGAGGAUUUUUCAAUAUUGUUAAUAGAUUUUGUUCUUUAAGGACUAAGAUACUCUUAAUCCCUGAACUUUUCCUAACCAUUCAUGCAAUGUCGAUCGUCCUCUUCAAGCACUCGUUCGUUCAUUCUUUUUGUCUCUGCCAACUAGUUACUUGCAAAAGGUAAUUUGAAC
This 1200-nucleotide long non-coding RNA is filed under the name Vigna radiata. Its description in RNAcentral is "long non-coding RNA (VRAD_LNC004043)". The record is from RNAcentral. Lineage: Eukaryota; Viridiplantae; Streptophyta; Magnoliopsida; Fabales; Fabaceae.